This 708-nucleotide long non-coding RNA is filed under the name Brassica rapa (field mustard). Its description in RNAcentral is "long non-coding RNA (BRAP_LNC006026)". The record is from RNAcentral. Lineage: Eukaryota; Viridiplantae; Streptophyta; Magnoliopsida; Brassicales; Brassicaceae.
CUGAUUUUUCUUUUGGUUUAUAUGCAGAUACCCUAUUAUGACGAUUUGUCCACUGAAGCUAUAUAUGAUUUGAUUGUACACAUCUUUGAUAUAUCAUUUUGAUAACAUCUUUUUUCCUCAAUCUGGUAAAAAAAUUUUACUCAAUUUGAUAACAUCUCUCAGAUAAAUCAUUUCAAUAGCAUCUUUUUGUGCUGCGAAUAUUUUUCUUUUUUUGAUUUGUAGAUUUAUAUUAUUGUUUAGAAUUAUAAGCUUAUAUAUACACAUAUUUGUUUUUUGGUUUGCUGAUUGUGAUUUUGUUUUAUAUUUUUUCAGAGAUGAUUUGAGAGAAGUGGUCAUAUUUCAGACCUCUAAGAGUUCACCAUUCCGAUCCUGCAAAAGAUGUGCACUUAGAAUGAUAUUUUCUCUACUUUACAUCAAAAUUGGAUAAUCAAUUAUAUUUUUAAAAUAUCUAUAGUAGGAUGGUAUUUUCUCUACUGAAAUAAUAUCUUAUUUCCUAAUCUCAUGCUUUAAUAUUUAAACUUUAAGGACAAGAUUUGUCAAUUAAAUCAUUAGUGUAAACUACUCCCGAGAUAUUCUCUUUUUUAUAUUUAAAAUGUAAUUUUAGUAACAAUAUAUUUCAUAAAUAAUCCUAACUUAUAGGUAGAUACAUUUUUAAAAUUAAUUUGAGAACAUUCUAUUACAUAGCUUAUUGUGAAAGCUAAAUAUUUU